Molecule: ribosomal RNA, 300 nt
Filed under: uncultured Thermodesulfobacterium sp.
Lineage: Bacteria; Pseudomonadati; Thermodesulfobacteriota; Thermodesulfobacteria; Thermodesulfobacteriales; Thermodesulfobacteriaceae
Description: bacterial SSU rRNA
Rfam family: Bacterial small subunit ribosomal RNA
Source: RNAcentral
GCUAAGGCCGUGGAAGCAGCCGUGGUAGGACGUAGGAUGCAAGCGUUGUCCGGAUGCAUGGGGAGUAAAGAGUUCGUAGGCGGGUUAUUAAGUCUGGUGUUAAAGAUCAGGGCCCAACCCUGGGAGUGCAUUGGAUACUGGUAGACUGGAGUGCAGUAGAGGCGAGUGGAAUUCCCAGUGUAGCGGUGAAAUGCGUAGAUAUUGGGAAGAACACCGGUGGCGCAGGCGACUCGCUGGGCUGUAACUGACGCUGAGGAACGAAAGCUAGGGGAGCAAAUGGGAUUAGAUACCCGGGUAGUC